RNAcentral lists this ribosomal RNA (336 nucleotides) under uncultured bacterium. RNAcentral's name for it is "partial 16S ribosomal RNA". It matches the Rfam family "Bacterial small subunit ribosomal RNA", at positions 43 to 362 of the family's 1533-position model. The record is from RNAcentral.
GGCCGCGGGAAUUCGAUUCAGGCCUAACACAUGCAAGUCGAACGGAGUAAUUCCUUCGGGGAUUACUUAGUGGCGAACGGGUGAGUAACGCGUGAGGAACCUACCUUUCAGUGGGGGACAACAGUUGGAAACGACUGCUAAUACCGCAUAAUGUAUUUGAGGGGCAUCCCUUGGAUACCAAAGAUUUAUUGCUGAAAGAUGGCCUCGCGUCUGAUUAGCUAGUUGGUGGGGUAACGGCCUACCAAGGCGACGAUCAGUAGCCGGACUGAGAGGGUGAACGGCCACAUUGGGACUGAGAUACGGCCCAGACUCCUACGGGAGGCAGCAGUGGGGAAU